GAUGAACGCUAGCUACAGGCUUAACACAUGCAAGUCGAGGGGUAACAAGAGGAAAGCUUGCUUUUCUUGUUGACGACCGGCGCACGGGUGAGUAACGCGUAUCCCACCUGCCUAUAACUAGGGAAUAACCUUGCGAAAGUAAGACUAAUACCCUAUGAUUUCCUUUGAUGGCCUCAGAUUAGGAAUAAAGAUUUAUCGGUUAUAGAUGGGGAUGCGUCUGAUGAGCUUGUUGGCGGGGUAACGGCCCACCAAGGCAACGAUCAGUAGGGGUUCUGAUAGGAAGGUCCCCCACAUUGGAACUGAGACACGGUCCAAACUCCUACGGGAAGCAGCAGUUAGGAAUAUUGGUCAAUGGGCGGAAGCCUGAACCAGCCAAGUAGCGUGCAGGAUGACGGCCCUAUGGGUUGUAAACUGCUUUUAUACAGGAAUAAAGUUAGCCACGUGUGGUUAUUUGUAGGUACUGUAUGAAUAAGGACCGGCUAAUUCCGUGCCAGCCGCCGCUGUAA
Molecule: ribosomal RNA, 506 nt
Filed under: uncultured bacterium
Lineage: Bacteria
Description: partial 16S ribosomal RNA
Rfam family: Bacterial small subunit ribosomal RNA
Source: RNAcentral